AUGUGUGUAAUAAGAAAAAAAGAGGUGCACUUAAAAUAUAAGGGCAUAGGCUUCCGAGUGGUACAACUGGUCCUCCUAACCCAUCCAGUCCACUACUGCCACCUCAAACUCUCUUCAGAGAAAUGGGAUCCUUCUGCUGUUCUGCUGGCACUACAAAACACCAGGCAUGACUUCUACCACCCACCCCAGGCUUCGGGGAUCAGUCUCUUUGCUGUGAAAGGCCCUGACUAUGGAGUACCCUCUGCUCCCAUACCCACAGUGUGGCCCAGCUCCUUCUCAGGGGUUCCCAGCCCCGCCUCUUCCUCCAACAAUUUGGUGAUGAUGUUCCUGCUCCACCUCUCCUUGAUGAGACCCUGUAGACAGCAUGUGUGGCAGCUAGCAGUGAGAACCAGGCCCUGCUUGGACUGUUUUUCAGAUUGUUUCUGCCCUUGUGACCUUCAGUUUCCCAAUAAUCAUACAGACCCUGUGUCUGAUAUUUCUACCCUGGGAUGACAGUAUAUGACACCAAGGACCCAGGAUAAAGCCUAGAAAUUCCCAUUUCCCACCUCCAACCCUGUCCUGCGAUGACCAUGAUAGGACAUCAAACUCACCAUCUCCAACUAGCUGCUCCUACCUCAGGUUCUAAUUCCUCCAAACUCAGGAGGAAGGUGUGCAGGGGUACUCAUGAUGGUAUCUGUUCUGUGUAUUGCUGCGCCCCUCCCCUGACUCAGGCAAUGGCAAGGCCCUACUGAGGUGGAUGGAGCAAGGCGUCCAUCCUCUGGAGGAGCGCAGUAUGUUUCUGGGAAUGGGCUGAUUUGUUUUUGUAUUCCUUUAAUAAGUAUGGUUUGGAUUUCUCAUAUGACCAUUAAGUAUAAAGGAAAAAUCAUGACUUUCCCAAUUAAUGUAACUACUUCUAAAGCAUAGAUCUGUUUGCUCUAAAUGCAAUGAUUCAGCUGUGGAGUGUAAAUUGUUAAUGUCUACAGAAAAACUCCCUGUAUUCCUGUCAAGGAAGUUUUUGAGAAAUUAAAUUAAAAUCUAGAGAAGAAAAAUUAAUGUUAAGAAGAUAGAUUAGUGCUUAGUACUGGGCAACUUGUUCUUGUUCCUGUGCACAAUGGUUUGUGCUCUUACUUUUGUUUGAUUAAAAAUAAUAACAAGUCAACCCCUUGCCGUAACCAUGGCACCGGUUCCAGUCAGUAAGUCAAGAAAGAAUAGUCAAGGUAUAGGCCAAUAGUUUGGGACAUUUGUAACUAUUAUUAAAAGUUAACUAAGCAGAAACUGCUCAAAGCAAAACGCGAACUGAAAGUACAAAUGCUUGCUUAUGCAUAAGCCAAGAUACAUUCUUCUAUUCUAAUUGUAGCUAUGUAAUAUUUUGUUUUGUUUGAAUAAUGAUUCCUGUUUUGUAACCACAAAGUACUGUAAGCCUGCCAAAAUGAAAAGUAUAUAUGAUCAACUUCACAAGUAAAGAUUGGGAUCAACACCUUCACUUUGGUGUCUGUGUUGUUUCUCCACCCCCUCUUU
RNAcentral lists this long non-coding RNA (1497 nucleotides) under Ictidomys tridecemlineatus (thirteen-lined ground squirrel). Its description in RNAcentral is "lncRNA (ENSSTOG00000033635.1)". Lineage: Eukaryota; Metazoa; Chordata; Mammalia; Rodentia; Sciuridae. The record is from RNAcentral.